Non-coding RNA from Biomphalaria glabrata, 47 nucleotides. The record is from Rfam. NCBI's taxonomy places the organism in Eukaryota, Metazoa, Mollusca, Gastropoda, Planorbidae.
UCUACGGCCCUUUUCAGGGCCACCCAAAUCGUACAAAUUCUAAAAAG